AGCAGCCGCGGUAAUUCCAGCUCCAAUAGCGUAUAUUAAAGUUGUUGCAGUUAAAAAGCUCGUAGUUGAAUUUCGGGGUCAGUAGGUUGGUCAUGCCUCCGGUAUGUACUGGUCUCACUGAUUCCUCCUUCCUGAUGAGCCGUAAUGCCAUUAAUUUGGUGUUGCGGGGAAUCUGGACUGUUACUUUGAAAAAAUUAGAGUGUUUAAAGCAAGCUAACGCUUGAAUACAUUAGCAUGGAAUAAUGGAAUAGGACGUUCGAUCCUAUUUUGUUGGUUUCUAGGAUUGACGUAAUGAUUAAUAGGGAUAGUUGGGGGCAUUAGUAUUCAACUGCCAGAGGUGAAAUUCUUGGAUUUAUUGAAGACUAACUACUGCGAAAGCAUUUGCCAAGGAUGUUUUCAUUAAUCAAGAACGAAAGUUAGGGGAUCGAAGACGAUCAGAUACCGUCGUAGUCUUAACCAUAAACUAUGCCGACUAGGGAUCGGAUGAUGUUAAUUUUUUAAUGACUCAUUCGGCGCCUUACG
RNAcentral lists this ribosomal RNA (522 nucleotides) under uncultured Glomus. RNAcentral describes it as "SSU rRNA". It matches the Rfam family "Eukaryotic small subunit ribosomal RNA", at positions 569 to 1092 of the family's 1831-position model. The record is from RNAcentral. Lineage: Eukaryota; Fungi; Glomeromycota; Glomeromycetes; Glomerales; Glomeraceae.